AUAGAUUGAGGCAAUUAGAAUUGUCUGCUUGAACACUCACUUAUUAGUCACUUAAAUGGAGUUGGAAUAAAGGUUGUUCCAUGUAUUCAGUCAAAAGACAUUCAAUCAGGUGUUGUUGAGGAAUAAAUAUGAGUCAUUGUCUCAAGAAAACUAGGACCACUUUGCUGCUCUUCUUUCACAAAUGCAAUGGGAUCUCUUACACUGGCCUGAACGGAGAAGUGAUGGAGGAAAGCACUAAUUCUAACCAAGCCAUCUCAGAAGCUGACAGGAAUGAGUGGGAAGCUUCCGAACCAAUGCCUUUAGUUUCCCCCUGACACAGUUCAGUUAAAAUUACCCCUGCAGUCUCAGUUUAAUACCUCAUCCAAAAGAUGGUACCUCUGGUAAUGCAGCACUCCCUCAAUACUGCAAUCUAAAUGAGGUGCUGAAGGGCUGGGGUGUGUCUUGAACACGCCAUGUUCUGAAUGAGAAGAGAGGGCCCUGAUAACUGAUGCAGUAAUUCAUGAUCCCACAACAAGUUCACAUUGUUGGUACCAAGAAUUCCAAACCUGUUGCUGCACGUUAGAAGCAAAUGACAACACAGAGCAAUUAGGCACAAGGUUUACAGUAGCUGACUAAUGACUUCAUUGCUCAAUGCUAAUCCUGACUUGACCUCUCCUGCAACUUAAUAUUUGUGUGUUUCCUCCACAAAGUAUAUAAUUAUUUUUCUUGCUAACCCAGAUUCAGCACAGUCAUUUUUUUUAAAACCCAAUUUUAGAAGAUGCUGUACAAAUAAUCAGUGGCCACAACUUGUCCAUCAAGCUGCAUUAUGCUUUGAGUCACAUUGUAUUAAUAAGGCAGAGAAGGGAAGAAACGAAGCAAAUCCUGCACUCUGGAUCCCACUACCUCUUGGGACAUCCUGUCCCACGUGCCCAAAGAUCUGCAGGUCAAGAAUUGGCCUGCUAAGUCACAUGAAGACCCUUGACAGAAACUCGUGACCAUGAGCAGACAUCAUCCUCAAAUCAAGGGACAGCCUCAUUCAUCAAACUCCAGGGCUAAAAAAAACAUGAAAUGAGUGUAAAAUAAAUUCUGAAUUUGUCCUGUGAAUUAGCGAUAUUGUUAAUUCCCUAGAUUCUGGAGAGAUCCCAGUGGAUUGGAAAACUGCAUUUGUAACACCUCUAUUCAAGAAGGGAGGGGGACAGAAAACAAGAAACUGUAGGCCAGUUAGCCGAGCGUGUGUCAUUGGGAAAAUUCUAGAAUCCAUUAUUAAAGAUGUAGUGUCAGGAUAUUUAGAUAAUCAUAAUACAAUCAGGCAGAGUCAACAUGAUUUUCUUCUGAAAGGGAAAUCAUGUGUGACAAAUUUAUUAGAGCUCUUUGAUGUAACAAACAACAAGUUCACAUUGCUGGCACCAAGAAUUCAAAACCUGUUGCUGCACGUUAGAAGCAAAUGACAACACAGAACAAUUAGGCACAAGGUUUACAGUAGCUGACUAAUGACUUCAUUCCUCAAUGCUAAUCCUGACUUGACCUCUCCUGCAACUUGAUAUUUGUAUGUUUCCUCCACAGAGGUCAGCAAACUGAUCUGGGUUUUCCGCUCCCAUGUUUCACAUGUGCGACAUUCCCAGAGCUGGGACCACAGGGCUCUGAAUGACACAAACUGAAGGGGUCAGGUGUUGUGUCCUCAGGGUGACAUCGCUGCGAUUGGAGAUACUUUCAUGUGUUUUGGCAACUCAGCUUGGGUUGUGAAGAGUUACAUUUAUAUAGCGCCUCUCACAACCACAGGACAUUCCCAAAUUGAUUUACAGCCAAUGCAAUACUUUUGAAGUCACUGUUAUAAUGCAGGAAAAUGUGGCAACCAAUUUGCACAUAGCAAUCUCCCACAAAUAGCAAUGAAAUAAAAAUGAGUAUAUAA
This is a long non-coding RNA of Carcharodon carcharias (great white shark), 1888 nucleotides long. RefSeq lists it as uncharacterized. The record is from RefSeq and is a predicted model, not a curated record. NCBI's taxonomy places the organism in Eukaryota, Metazoa, Chordata, Chondrichthyes, Lamniformes, Lamnidae. The transcript has 2 exons.